This 345-nucleotide ribosomal RNA is filed under the name uncultured Sphingobacteriales bacterium. RNAcentral's name for it is "bacterial SSU rRNA". It matches the Rfam family "Bacterial small subunit ribosomal RNA", at positions 1037 to 1382 of the family's 1533-position model. The record is from RNAcentral. Lineage: Bacteria; Pseudomonadati; Bacteroidota; Sphingobacteriia; Sphingobacteriales.
GGUGCUGCAUGGUUGUCGUCAGCUCGUGCCAUGAGGUGUCGGGUUAAGUCCCAUAACGAGCGCAACCCUUAUCGUUAGUUGCCAUCUGGUAAAGCAGGGGACUCUAGCGAAACUGCCACCGUAAGGUGAGAGAAGGUGGGGAUGACGUCAAAUCAGCACGGCCCUUAUGUCCAGGGCUACACACGUGUUACAAUGGUCGGUACAGAGGGCAGCUACCUGGUGACAGGAUGCUAAUCUCGAAAACCGGCCUCAGUUCGGAUCGAAGUCUGCAACUCGACUUCGUGAAGCUGGAUUCGCUAGUAAUCGCGCAUCAGCCAUGGCGCGGUGAAUACGUUCCCGGGCCUU